GAGCAAUCUGUGUGACUGCGUACCUUUUGUAUAAUGGGUCAGCGACUUAUAUUCUGUAGCAAGGUUAACCGAAUAGGGGAGCCGAAGGGAAACCGAGUCUUAACUGGGCGUUAAGUUGCAGGGUAUAGACCCGAAACCCGGUGAUCUAGCCAUGGGCAGGUUGAAGGUUGGGUAACACUAACUGGAGGACCGAACCGACUAAUGUUGAAAAAUUAGCGGAUGACUUGUGGCUGGGGGUGAAAGGCCAAUCAAACCGGGAGAUAGCUGGUUCUCCCCGAAAGCUAUUUAGGUAGCGCCUCGUGAAUUCAUCUCCGGGGGUAGAGCACUGUUUCGGCAAGGGGGUCAUCCCGACUUACCAACCCGAUGCAAACUGCGAAUACCGGAGAAUGUUAUCACGGGAGACACACGGCGGGUGCUAACGUCCGUCGUGAAGAGGGAAACAACCCAGACCGCCAGCUAAGGUCCCAAAGUCAUGGUUAAGUGGGAAACGAUGUGGGAAGGCCCAGACAGCCAGGAUGUUGGCUUAGAAGCAGCCAUCAUUUAAAGAAAGCGUAAUAGCUCACUGGUCGAGUCGGCCUGCGCGGAAGAUGUAACGGGGCUAAACCAUGCACCGAAGCUGCGGCAGCGACGCUUAUGCGUUGUUGGGUAGGGGAGCGUUCUGUAAGCCUGCGAAGGUGUGCUGUGAGGCAUGCUGGAGGUAUCAGAAGUGCGAAUGCUGACAUAAGUAACGAUAAAGCGGGUGAAAAGCCCGCUCGCCGGAAGACCAAGGGUUCCUGUCCAACGUUAAUCGGGGCAGGGUGAGUCGACCCCUAAGGCGAGGCCGAAAGGCGUAGUCGAUGGGAAACAGGUUAAUAUUCCUGUACUUGGUGUUACUGCGAAGGGGGGACGGAGAAGGCUAUGUUGGCCGGGCGACGGUUGUCCCGGUUUAAGCGUGUAGGCUGGUUUUCCAGGCAAAUCCGGAAAAUCAAGGCUGAGGCGUGAUGACGAGGCACUACGGUGCUGAAGCAACAAAUGCCCUGCUUCCAGGAAAAGCCUCUAAGCAUCAGGUAACAUCAAAUCGUACCCCAAACCGACACAGGUGGUCAGGUAGAGAAUACCAAGGCGCUUGAGAGAACUCGGGUGAAGGAACUAGGCAAAAUGGUGCCGUAACUUCGGGAGAAGGCACGCUGAUAUGUAGGUGAAGUCCCUCGCGGAUGGAGCUGAAAUCAGUCGAAGAUACCAGCUGGCUGCAACUGUUUAUUAAAAACACAGCACUGUGCAAACACGAAAGUGGACGUAUACGGUGUGACGCCUGCCCGGUGC
Molecule: ribosomal RNA, 1302 nt
Filed under: Escherichia coli
Lineage: Bacteria; Pseudomonadati; Pseudomonadota; Gammaproteobacteria; Enterobacterales; Enterobacteriaceae
Description: partial 23S ribosomal RNA
Rfam family: Bacterial large subunit ribosomal RNA
Source: RNAcentral